This 253-nucleotide ribosomal RNA is filed under the name uncultured bacterium. RNAcentral's name for it is "partial 16S ribosomal RNA". It matches the Rfam family "Bacterial small subunit ribosomal RNA", at positions 524 to 776 of the family's 1533-position model. The record is from RNAcentral.
UACGGAGGGUGCGAGCGUUGUCCGGAAUCACUGGGCGUAAAGGGCGCGUAGGCGGCGCGGAUAGUCGGCGGUGAAAGCCCGGAGCUCAACUCCGGGUCGGCCGUCGAUACUUCCGGGCUUGAGCACUGUAGAGGCAGAUGGAAUUCCGGGUGUAGCGGUGGAAUGCGUAGAGAUCCGGAAGAACACCGGUGGCGAAGGCAGGUCUCUGGGCCACUACUGACGCUGAGAAGCGAAAGCGUGGGGAGCGAACAGG